Parelaphostrongylus tenuis is the source of this 75-nucleotide non-coding RNA. The record is from the annotation of a GenBank genome assembly. Lineage: Eukaryota; Metazoa; Nematoda; Chromadorea; Rhabditida; Metastrongylidae.
GCAUCGGUGGUGUAGUGGUAGCACGCGCCCCCCCCGCAUGCGGGAAAACACGGGUUCGACUCCCGUCUGAGGUCA